ACGCUCGACACCUACGGGAGCAGCAGUGAGGAAUAUUGGUCAAUGGGCGCUAGCCUGAACCAGCCAAGUAGCGUGAAGGAUGAAGGCUCUAUGGGUCGUAAACUUCUUUUAUAUAAGAAUAAAGUGCAGUAUGUAUACUGUUUUGUAUGUAUUAUAUGAAUAAGGAUCGGCUAACUCCGUGCCAACAGCCGCGGUAAUCUGAGCGGGCGUGGCAAGGC
RNAcentral lists this ribosomal RNA (218 nucleotides) under uncultured bacterium. Its description in RNAcentral is "partial 16S ribosomal RNA". It matches the Rfam family "Bacterial small subunit ribosomal RNA", at positions 328 to 544 of the family's 1533-position model. The record is from RNAcentral.